GAUGAACGCUGGCGGCGUGCCUAAUACAUGCAAGUCGAGCGAACAGAUGAGGAGCUUGCUCCUCUGACGUUAGCGGCGGACGGGUGAGUAACACGUGGAUAACCUACCUAUAAGACUGGGAUAACUUCGGGAAACCGGAGCUAAUACCGGAUAAUAUAUUGAACCGCAUGGUUCAAUAGUGAAAGACGGUUUUGCUGUCACUUAUAGAUGGAUCCGCGCCGCAUUAGCUAGUUGGUAAGGUAACGGCUUACCAAGGCAACGAUGCGUAGCCGACCUGAGAGGGUGAUCGGCCCCACUGGACCUGAGACACGGUCCAGACUCCUACGGGAGGCAGCAGUAGGGAAUCUUCCGCAAUGGGCGAAAGCCUGACGGAGCAACGCCGCGUGAGUGAUGAAGGUCUUCGGAUCGUAAAACUCUGUUAUUAGGGAAGAACAAAUGUGUAAGUAACUAUGCACGUCUUGACGGUACCUAAUCAGAAAGCCACGGCUAACUACGU
RNAcentral lists this ribosomal RNA (496 nucleotides) under uncultured bacterium. Its description in RNAcentral is "partial 16S ribosomal RNA". It matches the Rfam family "Bacterial small subunit ribosomal RNA", at positions 28 to 506 of the family's 1533-position model. The record is from RNAcentral.